RNAcentral lists this ribosomal RNA (673 nucleotides) under Cortinarius sp. MLB-2010o. RNAcentral describes it as "eukaryotic LSU rRNA". It matches the Rfam family "Eukaryotic large subunit ribosomal RNA", at positions 1 to 653 of the family's 3401-position model. Lineage: Eukaryota; Fungi; Basidiomycota; Agaricomycetes; Agaricales; Cortinariaceae. The record is from RNAcentral.
GUGACCUCAAAUCAGGUAGGACUACCCGCUGAACUUAAGCAUAUCAAUAAGCGGAGGAAAAGAAACUAACAAGGAUUCCCCUAGUAACUGCGAGUGAAGCGGGAAAAGCUCAAAUUUAAAAUCUGGCGGUCUUUUGGCUGUCCGAGUUGUAAUCUAGAGAAGUGUUAUCCGCGCUGGACCGUGUACAAGUCUCCUGGAAUGGAGCAUCAUAGAGGGUGAGAAUCCCGUCUUUGACAUGGACUGCCAGGGCUUUGUGAUGCGCUCUCAAAGAGUCGAGUUGUUUGGGAAUGCAGCUCAAAAUGGGUGGUAAAUUCCAUCUAAAGCUAAAUAUUGGCGAGAGACCGAUAGCGAACAAGUACCGUGAGGGAAAGAUGAAAAGAACUUUGGAAAGAGAGUUAAACAGUACGUGAAAUUGCUGAAAGGGAAACGCUUGAAGUCAGUUGCGUCGUCCAGGGAUCAACCUUGCUUUUGCUGGGUGCACUUUCUGGUAUGACGGGUCAGCAUCAAUUUUGACCAUUGGAAAAAGGCUAAGGGAAUGUGGCAUCUUUGGAUGUGUUAUAGCCCUUGGUCACAUACAAUGGUUGGGAUUGAGGAACUCAGCACGCCGCAAGGCCGGGUUUUAAACCACGUACGUGCUUAGGAUGCUGGCAAAUAUGGCUUUAAUCGACCCGUC